UGGGAGCGGAAUCAGUGAACUAGGCCUGGCGCGCUCCUGGAUCCCUCGGGCUUUGCCCGCAGCCUCCGGCAGAGACUCGAGAAAUUCACACAGCCAAUAAUGAAACUGAUGCUGAGACUGAAACAGCACAAGCUUUGUUGAAUGGCCGUUCAGUGGCUGAGAAUGGAAGUGGAAACUUAGUUCACAAAUCAACUUCUCCUCAGGGAGGAUCAGGGCAAGAUUUUUAAAGGGCACGUGGGUUCGAGCUCUGGUCCGGGAAGAUCCUACAU
Balaenoptera musculus (blue whale) is the source of this 269-nucleotide long non-coding RNA. RefSeq lists it as uncharacterized. The transcript has 3 exons. Lineage: Eukaryota; Metazoa; Chordata; Mammalia; Artiodactyla; Balaenopteridae. The record is from RefSeq and is a predicted model, not a curated record.